Molecule: ribosomal RNA, 160 nt
Filed under: uncultured bacterium
Lineage: Bacteria
Description: partial 16S rRNA
Rfam family: Bacterial small subunit ribosomal RNA
Source: RNAcentral
GGAAUCUUCCACAAUGGGCGAAAGCCUGAUGGAGCAACGCCGCGUGUGUGAUGAAGGGUUUCGGCUCGUAAAACACUGUUGUAAGAGAAGAAUGACAUUGAGAGUAACUGUUCAAUGUGUGACGGUAUCUUACCAGAAAGGAACGGCUAAAUACGUGCCA